CUCAUUUUUGUAAUUUAACACCUCAUUGUUAAAUAACGUCUUAUUUUUGUUAUUUAACACCUCAAUGUUUUCUGUUCAUACGCGAAUGUCUUUGUUAUCGUGGGUAUAAUAGUCUUUUUUUACCAUAUUAAAACACUCCGGAUUUUACUCGAGACGACAUUUAUUGAGUAACUGCGCUCCGAAUGUGUGUGUGUCUCCUGUUCUUUUUGAAACCGGUGUAAAUAUCCGUAUGACGAGCAGCACGGCAGGCGCCACUUUAUUUGGCGGCACUAUUUGAAAUAACAUGUUCAUACUGUAUUUUUUUGCAUCCUGUGAAGUAACGUUAGCGUAGAAGGCGGCAUUUUAACCAGCAACGAACACGGAGAACCAUGUCGGAAGAUCGCGGUCAUUGACCAAAAUCACAAAAAUCAGGUGAGUUUAAAGAGUUUCUUGAAAGUCAUGCAUAGUUUUAAUCAUCUAUCAGUGAUGUUGAUGUAUACUAAACGCAACGGACUUACGGGGACUUACACCACACGAAAUGAAGUAACUUAGCUAGUUAAUAAGGCAAGGUGAUUCAAGCUAGCAACAUUUCGAUAGUUUGUCCAUUAAUUUUAGAAUGCGCUUAUUUUAAUGUCCAUUUAUGUAUAGUACGAUCCAAAUCUAUAAACAACUAUAACGUUUAGCAUUCCCGUGUCUGGUUUGUGUGGCAUUAUUGCCAUGUGCACAUCUGGUUAAAGCAGAUUCAUCCUGAAAAUCAAACGGCUAUAAAUGUAUUUACUGAUAGCUGUUUCUUAUGCUAGAGAUAACUUAGUUGGUCUAAAACUCUAUUUAAUGAAUUCAUGACAGUUGCUUGUCUUUGAUGAAUUAUAGCUGUUUGGGCUACCAGACAUGCUGUUGUGACUAUUUUAUAUAUAUGUUUUAUGCUAUCAAUGAGGUAAAUCCAGCAAAAACAGUAGGCUACUGAUCGGGCUAGUGCAGUAUCUAGCUAUGUUAACAGCUAUUCACUUUUUAUUGCAUUGGCAUAGUGCAUCCUAUUUUUAUUUAUUUAUUUAUUUAUUGCUGUUUUAAUUAUCAUUGAGUUGUAGAUCAAUGUUUACAUUUGUUUAUUUCUUUAUUUAUUUUUAUUACAGAUGCUGAUCACACUGCUGUUCAAGAUAUCCAAGGAUUUAUAUCUCAGAACCAGGAGGAAAUUUGAAUGGUUUCUUACUUGCUUAAAGGUGCAGUGUGUAAUUUUUAGAAGGAUCUCUUGACAGAAAUGCAAAAUAAUAUACAGAACUAUAUGAGCAGGGGUGUAUAAAGACUUUUCAUAAUGAACCGUUAUGUGUUUAUUGCCUUAGAAUGAGACGUUUUAUCUACAUACACAGAGGGUCCCCUUACAUGGAAGCCGCCAUUUUGUGCAGCCAUGUUUCUACAGAAGUCCUUAACAGACAAACUUUUUUACCAAGUUGUCUCCGACAAUGGCAUGUUUGUCCGGUAGCGGCUACAGUAGCUUCUCUGUGUGUUACAAAAGCAAGAGGGAUAUGCCAUUGCAGCUGACCUUGAGAGUUCACUCUCUAUACCUGCAACUCCUCGUCUGAUACUUCUUGGAGAAACGAGAAGCCGCUUCCAGCGCUGGAUGCUCACCCUUGAGGGCCAAAUUUGCGAAGGGAUCCAGUCCACCUUUGUGACAGGGCUUGCGUCUUUUUUUCUGUUUUCACAUCUUUAACCAAGAGCAGGCAGCCUGCACGCUUGAAUUCAUCCAGAGACACGUUGAGGGUAUAAACCCAGAAAAAGGGACAAAUGCUGCAAAGGGGGAGCAAGCUCAUGGACUUUCAGUGGGAUUUCAUUUGAAAAUUACCCAAGACUUCGCAAAGGAUCCUCAUUGUGUGCUUUGAGAAAAUGGUUAGUGGUCUAAGCAGUGACACUGUUUUUUUAUUUGUUUAUUUUGUUUAUUGUUCUUUAUUGAUGAUGAGUUAAGUAUCAGUUUGAAUGUAUUCAUACAUGUUGAAUUUUAGUGGUUUAGGUAACACUAUGUUUUGAGGGUCAGAAAUUUUUAUAAUGAACAAUGUAUUUGGGUGUAAAAUGAAUUUGCUACUUUUUAAGCUAUGAACAUGAGAAAAUGAGAUUUGAUUGUGAUUAAUCUGAGCCUAUGUGUAACAUUUUUAUAUGACCAGGAGUCAAGAGUGUAUAUCCUUGGUUUGAGUCUUUUUAUUUGAAUCUUAGCAAUUCAUGGAACAUUAAAAAUCGAGGUUUAGGGCCCUAUCUUGCACUGACACAGUGCAAAGCCAAACGCAAGUGUCUCUGCUAGUUUAAGACAGACGCAGUUGUUAUUUUCCAUCCAGCGACCACUGUCAGCAAUGAACAUGAUAUACAAUAUAUUUCUGUGAUUUGUCUGAUUCAUGUGUGCCUUCAUUUGUAAGUAUUUACCUUUCAGUGUUUGUAUUACAAUAAAAAAGUAAAUUUCAA
Molecule: non-coding RNA, 2424 nt
Organism: Misgurnus anguillicaudatus (oriental weatherfish)
Lineage: Eukaryota; Metazoa; Chordata; Actinopteri; Cypriniformes; Cobitidae
Source: RefSeq, a predicted model, not a curated record